RNAcentral lists this ribosomal RNA (497 nucleotides) under uncultured bacterium. Its description in RNAcentral is "partial 16S ribosomal RNA". It matches the Rfam family "Bacterial small subunit ribosomal RNA", at positions 28 to 507 of the family's 1533-position model. The record is from RNAcentral.
GAUGAACGCUGGCGGCGUGCCUAAUACAUGCAAGUCGAGCGAACAGACGAGGAGCUUGCUCCUCUGACGUUAGCGGCGGACGGGUGAGUAACACGUGGAUAACCUACCUAUAAGACUGGGAUAACUUCGGGAAACCGGAGCUAAUACCGGAUAAUAUAUUGAACCGCAUGGUUCAAUAGUGAAAGACGGUUUUGCUGUCACUUAUAGAUGGAUCCGCGCCGCAUUAGCUAGUUGGUAAGGUAACGGCUUACCAAGGCAACGAUGCGUAGCCGACCUGAGAGGGUGAUCGGCCACACUGGAACUGAGUCACGGUCCAGACUCCUACGGGAGGCAGCAGUAGGGAAUCUUCCGCAAUGGGCGAAAGCCUGACGGAGCAACGCCGCGUGAGUGAUGAAGGUCUUCGGAUCGUAAAACUCUGUUAUUAGGGAAGAACAAAUGUGUAAGUAACUAUGCACGUCUUGACGGUACCUAAUCAGAAAGCCACGGCUAACUACGUG